CUACGGGUGGCUGCAGUGAGGAAUAUUGCACAAUGGGGGGAACCCUGAUGCAGCAACGCCGCGUGGAGGAUGACGCAUUUCGGUGUGUAAACUCCUUUUAUAUGUCAAGAAAAUGACGGUAGCAUAUGAAUAAGCACCGGCUAACUCCGUGCCAGCAGCCGCGGUAAUACGGAGGGUGCAAGCGUUACUCGGAAUCACUGGGCGUAAAGGACGCGUAGGCGGGUUGGAAAGUCAGGUGUGAAAGCCUCCAGCUUAACUGUAGAACUGCACUUGAAACUUCUAAUCUAGAGUAUGGGAGGGGGGGAUGGAAUUAGUGGUGUAGGGGUAAAAUCCGUAGAUAUCACUAGGAAUACCUAAAGCGAAGGCGAUCUCCUGGAACAUUACUGACGCUAAGGCGUGAAAGCGUGGGGAGCAAACAGGAUUAGAUACCCCCGUAGUC
This 439-nucleotide ribosomal RNA is filed under the name uncultured bacterium. RNAcentral's name for it is "partial 16S ribosomal RNA". It matches the Rfam family "Bacterial small subunit ribosomal RNA", at positions 339 to 795 of the family's 1533-position model. The record is from RNAcentral.